Molecule: ribosomal RNA, 388 nt
Filed under: uncultured eukaryote
Lineage: Eukaryota
Description: partial 18S ribosomal RNA
Rfam family: Eukaryotic small subunit ribosomal RNA
Source: RNAcentral
CAAUAGCGUAUAUUAAAGUUGUUGCAGUUAAAAAGCUCGUAGUUGGAUUUCUGAUCGAGACAUCAGGUCGGGUCCGAGAGGAUCAUGUACUUUGAUUUUGUUUUGAUCAUCCUUGGGGAGAGCAUUUCUGGCAUUCAGUUGUCGGGAUUGGGAUCCUCAUCGUUUACUGUGAAAAAAUUAGAGUGUUCAAAGCAGGCCUCGGCCUCUGAAUACAUUAGCAUGGAAUAAUAAGAUAGGACUUUGGUGGUCUAUUUUGUUGGUUUGCACGCCAAAGUAAUGAUUAAUAGGGGUAGUUGGGGGUAUUCGUAUUCAAUUGUCAGAGGUGAAAUUCUUGGAUUUAUGGAAGACGAACUACUGCGAAAGCAUUUACCAAGGAUGUUUUCAUUAA